UGGGGAAUAUUGGACAAUGGGCGAAAGCCUGAUCCAGCCAUGCCGCGUGUGUGAAGAAGGUCUUCGGAUUGUAAAGCACUUUAAGUUGGGAGGAAGGGCAUUAACCUAAUACGUUAGUGUUUUGACGUUACCGACAGAAUAAGCACCGGCUAACUCUGUGCCAGCAGCCGCGGUAAUACAGAGGGUGCAAGCGUUAAUCGGAAUUACUGGGCGUAAAGCGCGCGUAGGUGGUUUGCUAAGUUGGAUGUGAAAUCCCCGGGCUCAACCUGGGAACUGCAUUCAAAACUGACUGACUAGAGUAUGGUAGAGGGUGGUGGAAUUUCCUGUGUAGCGGUGAAAUGCGUAGAUAUAGGAAGGAACACCAGUGGCGAAGGCGACCACCUGGACUAAUACUGACACUGAGGUGCGAAAGCGUGGGGAGCAAACA
Molecule: ribosomal RNA, 427 nt
Filed under: uncultured bacterium
Lineage: Bacteria
Description: partial 16S ribosomal RNA
Rfam family: Bacterial small subunit ribosomal RNA
Source: RNAcentral